CAAGGAGUCCAGUGGCACCUUAAAGACUAACAGAUUUAUUUGGGCAUAAGCUUUCAUGCCUAAAAAACCUUACUUCUUCAGAUGCAUAGAGUGAAAAGUACA
Molecule: long non-coding RNA, 102 nt
Organism: Gopherus evgoodei (Goodes thornscrub tortoise)
Lineage: Eukaryota; Metazoa; Chordata; Testudines; Testudinidae
Exons: 4
Source: RefSeq, a predicted model, not a curated record